GAUGAACGCUGGCGGCGUGCCUAAUACAUGCAAGUCGAGCGAACGGACGAGAAGCUUGCUUCUCUGAUGUUAGCGGCGGACGGGUGAGUAACACGUGGAUAACCUACCUAUAAGACUGGGAUAACUUCGGGAAACCGGAGCUAAUACCGGAUAAUAUUUUGAACCGCAUGGUUCAAAAGUGAAAGACGGUCUUGCUGUCACUUAUAGAUGGAUCCGCGCUGCAUUAGCUAGUUGGUAAGGUAACGGCUUACCAAGGCAACGAUGCAUAGCCGACCUGAGAGGGUGAUCGGGCACACUGGAACUGAGACACGGUCCAGACUCCUACGGGAGGCAGCAGUAGGGAAUCUUCCGCAAUGGGCGAAAGCCUGACGGAGCAACGCCGCGUGAGUGAUGAAGAUCUUCGGAUCGUAAAACUCUGUUAUUAGGGAAGAACAUAUGUGUAAGUAACUGUGCACAUCUUGACGGUACCUAAUCAGAAAGCCACGGCUAACUACGUG
Molecule: ribosomal RNA, 497 nt
Filed under: uncultured bacterium
Lineage: Bacteria
Description: partial 16S ribosomal RNA
Rfam family: Bacterial small subunit ribosomal RNA
Source: RNAcentral